UUUUUCUCAGUUUCUCCUCUUUCUCUCUCUACACAACUCCUCGAUCUCGAUCUCGUUUUCACAUAACUCGAAACAAUUUCGCUAUCAAUCUAUACUCUUAUUGAAAUCCAAAAAUUUCUCUCGCUCUCGUCAGAAUCUAGAUCGUUUCGCUUCGUUGAAUCGCGAAUCUGAUGCAAACUUCCAAGAUCGGUGAAACUUUAGCUUCGUUUUCUUCACUAUAAGUGAGUCAGUUUAUGUAGUAUGCAUUCUUGAAGGGUAACAAGCCAGAUUUCAAUGUGGUAAUGGUGCCUCAAAGAGCCAAGCCCUUUUAUGCCUCUUUAGUGGACAGGUUUAGGAAUGCUUAUAACUCUGAUGCAAUCAAGGGUCUAAUUGGGAAAACCAUUUCCAAACAGAACUAAGAUGAAUUGGACGCCAUUUUCAAACAGAAGCGAACUCUCCGUACUCAGCUCAGAAAAACCCUCAAGGCCAUUGACCCCUCCCUCAGAUCUCAACAAGGUACAAUACAAUUUAAUCUUUGGUCGCUCUUUUUUUAUUCCCACACAAUCGUUUCUUGUUCCGACAACGCUAUUCAGGACAUAAUUUUGGGAGCUCCGUGGUUCAAAUCAAGUCUUAGGUUAUGCGCAUACAUAAGUUGCAAUGCUCUACAGGAAGUCGAUACUUUCAAACUCUUGUCACACAUUUUGCAACCUCAGCCCAAUGGCGGUAAAAAACUGUAUGUACCGCGAGUGGAAGAUAAAAACAGUCACAUGCGUAUGCUUAACAUAUCCCGUAUUGAUGACCUUGUUGCAAACUCAAUGGACAUCUUAGAAUCUGCUCCAGUUGAUGCUGAUGGAAGUGCACGUGAAGAUGGUAUUUGUCUCUCUUUUUCAUUCACUGCCAAACUCUCUUAUCUUACUCACUAGAAUAUUCAUGCCUGAGGGAAAUCUUUUCUAUUUUUAUUUCCUAGAAUUUGUAUUAGUCUUGUUAACAAGGAUAAAAAAGAUUCUUGAAGUGAACAAUUGUCUUGCAUUUCCAAAAACAAUGACAAUGUCAAAAGAGCUAUUUUCAUUAUUUCUUUAAAUGCAUCAUCCUUAGCUAGCAUUUUUAAUUCUCUUCAUCAGAAUGACUCACUUGUUUACAAUUAAAACAACAACGAAAUCAUAUUUC
Molecule: RNA transcript, 1146 nt
Organism: Vicia villosa (hairy vetch)
Lineage: Eukaryota; Viridiplantae; Streptophyta; Magnoliopsida; Fabales; Fabaceae
Gene name: 5-formyltetrahydrofolate cyclo-ligase, mitochondrial-like
Exons: 4
Source: RefSeq, a predicted model, not a curated record